GCAGGCCAAGGCCCUUGCGGCAUCUGCCUUGGUGUGGCGGUCGGUCUCGUUGCGGUGGUUCAGACCGCCGGCGUGCGCC
RNAcentral lists this transfer RNA (79 nucleotides) under Paraburkholderia kirstenboschensis. RNAcentral's name for it is "tRNA-Thr". Lineage: Bacteria; Pseudomonadati; Pseudomonadota; Betaproteobacteria; Burkholderiales; Burkholderiaceae. The record is from RNAcentral.